GACGAACGCUGGCGGCGUGCUUAACACAUGCAAGUCGAACGGAAAGGCCCUGCUUUUGUGGGGUGCUCGAGUGGGGAACGGGUGAGUAACACGUGAGUAACCUGCCCUUGACUUUGGGAUAACUUCAGGAAACUGGGGCUAAUACCGGAUAGGAGCUCCUGCUGCAUGGUGGGGGUUGGAAAGUUUCGGCGGUUGGGGAUGGACUCGCGGCUUAUCAGCUUGUUGGUGGGGUAGUGGCUUACCAAGGCUUUGACGGGUAGCCGGCCUGAGAGGGUGACCGGCCACAUUGGGACUGAGAUACGGCGCAGACUGCUACGGGAGGCAGAAGUGGGGAAUAUUGCACAAUGGGCGGAAGCCUGAUGCAGCGACGCCGCGUGCGGGAUGACGGCCUGCGGGUUGUAAAACGCUGUCGCCUGUGACGAAGCGUGAGUGACGGUAAUGGGUAAAGAAGCACCGGCUAACUACGUG
Molecule: ribosomal RNA, 468 nt
Filed under: uncultured bacterium
Lineage: Bacteria
Description: partial 16S ribosomal RNA
Rfam family: Bacterial small subunit ribosomal RNA
Source: RNAcentral